RNAcentral lists this ribosomal RNA (253 nucleotides) under uncultured bacterium. Its description in RNAcentral is "partial 16S ribosomal RNA". It matches the Rfam family "Bacterial small subunit ribosomal RNA", at positions 524 to 776 of the family's 1533-position model. The record is from RNAcentral.
UACAGAGGUCUCGAGCGUUGUUCGGAUUCAUUGGGCGUAAAGGGCGCGUAGGCGGCGGGGUAAGUCUGGUGUGAAAUCUCGGAGCUCAACUCCGAAAUUGCACUGGAUACUGCUCUGCUAGAGGGCUGGAGAGGAGAUCGGAAUUCACGGUGUAGCAGUGAAAUGCGUAGAUAUCGUGAGGAAGACCAGUGGCGAAGGCGGAUCUCUGGACAGCUCCUGACGCUGAGGCGCUAAGGCUAGGGGAGCAAACGGG